Molecule: long non-coding RNA, 740 nt
Filed under: Ananas comosus (pineapple)
Lineage: Eukaryota; Viridiplantae; Streptophyta; Magnoliopsida; Poales; Bromeliaceae
Description: long non-coding RNA (ACOM_LNC007247)
Source: RNAcentral
AUUUCCCGAUUUUCCACUCUCGACCCCUUAGCGAACUUCAUGCAAUAUCCGACAAUCCGUUCAUCGGAUUUCCGAACGGAUUGCACCAUCGCGUUCAGCACGACGAGGGCAUCAAAACUACCAUCUUGUUUCGUCAAAUUUGGUCACGGAUUCGCGACGGAACCCAUCCGCUCUCUAAUUUCGUAUAUCGCACAUAUGCCAAAGUAUAAACCCUAAAACCUUUAAUUCAAAUUCAAAUUUGAAUUCCCUACCACUAGUAGGUACCAAAAAUAACUCUCACCUAACCCCAGGUCACAAGCACAGAGCACGAGGAGUCUUAAAAAUGCAUGCAUAGCAAAGAGCGAAAACUCUCUUUUUGUUAAAACUCUUUUUUCUCGAAAACCGUGCAUCGGAUCUGAAAUCCGUCAGUGCCAUUGGUUCCAGAAUGGCUGAACCGGUCGAAACAAGCUAUUGGAUUGCUAUGAACGGAGUCUGAUACGCGCCGAAAGUGAACUCUACUCCGUGGCUUCACCGAAAAACCGGGUUACCAUUCACUUUAAGUGAAAACUAAUAAUCGCGUAACUUCUCCAUUCUAGCUCAUUUUCUUCUGAAACUUGACGAGUGCUUAUGUAAUUAAAUUACACACAUAAACAUCAUCAACAGAGAGUUUAUUUGCACUGUCAAAAUCUCAGUCCUUACAUUAACUAGCCAUGUUUUAACGACCUUUUAAAAAUUUUCCGUAGAUAUAUUAAAUAAAGAGG